AACUCUUAGCGGUGGAUCACUCGGCUCGUGCGUCGAUGAAGAACGCAGCCAGCUGCGAGAACUAAUGUGAAUUGCAGCUUAACAUUGAUCAUCGACACUUCGAACGGGCGGACAUGCGGCCGCGUCCAUCCCGGGGCUAGCCUGUCUGAGGGUCC
Molecule: ribosomal RNA, 155 nt
Organism: Ictalurus punctatus (channel catfish)
Lineage: Eukaryota; Metazoa; Chordata; Actinopteri; Siluriformes; Ictaluridae
Rfam family: 5.8S ribosomal RNA
About the family: 5.8S ribosomal RNA (5.8S rRNA) is a component of the large subunit of the eukaryotic ribosome. It is transcribed by RNA polymerase I as part of the 45S precursor that also contains 18S and 28S rRNA.
Source: Ensembl